GUCUGCCAUCCCACAGCUGCUCUGUGCCUCCUGUGAAGGCAGAGGGGGGCUGGCAGUCACCAUGUUCUCCCACUUGGUGGGCUGCAGUCAGGAAAAAGUGGAGCCUGUUAUACCCAAUGAACCACAAAAAGCCACCCUGUUUGUGACAAAAUCUAAACCUGUGCUUCAGCGCAUCUGGUUGUGUGGCCAAGGAAGGAUCUCUUGGAGCUGUUCUUUUCUAUGUCUUGUGACCGCAUCACCAACAAUUCCUCUCAAGGUCCCAAAGCUAUAUUCCUACAGAAAUGACAUUCCUUGAGUGCAUGUCAGUCUUCCCAGAACCCUUGGCAGCUCUGCAGAAGCAUGGGAUCUUGUGCAAUAGUGUUACUUUGGCAGUACAGAGGUCUCAAGCCCUUUCAGAAGGGCAAUGAGGGACUGCUGGAUACUAAAGGUGUCUAUCAUCAGAGGAAAACAGAAGUAACUUUAUACCUAGAAUGUGCAGAGAUCAAACAGGAUGAGUGUUGCAGAAAAACAAUAAAGGCAUGUGUGUGCUUGUGUGUGUGUGAAUUCAUCCUGUUUAUGGGAACAGUAGGGUUUGCUGUAGAAAGUGCUGGUGCCAGCAGGAACUUGCCUGACUGUUUCAGGGCUGUGGUUAUUCAAACACCAAUGAGACUUCACACUUGGUCUGAGAUGCUAAAUUUAAUCAGUCACCCUACAACUGCAUGAUGCUUCACUGACAAUUUGGAGCUGAAGAGGUCACUCAUUUAUAAUCACUCCAUUCAGAAGGGUAAAUGAGCCUGUU
Molecule: long non-coding RNA, 778 nt
Organism: Oxyura jamaicensis (ruddy duck)
Lineage: Eukaryota; Metazoa; Chordata; Aves; Anseriformes; Anatidae
Exons: 2
Source: RefSeq, a predicted model, not a curated record